GCUUCUCCUUUUUCUUCUGCUAACCGCAUUCGUUCUUUCCUUGCAGCACUCUCAGUGGGAUCUGCACAGCUGGUGUAUUGGAGCAUCACUUCUCUUAUCUCUUCUCGGGCCUCCAUGAUAGCAUUCGAGUAGCCAUCAUCUACUGGGGGUACAGGGGCUGAGUUUGGCAGUGUUUUCAAUAGUGAGGUAGCCAUUCUUUCACCAUUCAUUUCCUC
RNAcentral lists this long non-coding RNA (215 nucleotides) under Brassica rapa (field mustard). RNAcentral describes it as "long non-coding RNA (BRAP_LNC003701)". Lineage: Eukaryota; Viridiplantae; Streptophyta; Magnoliopsida; Brassicales; Brassicaceae. The record is from RNAcentral.